RNAcentral lists this ribosomal RNA (443 nucleotides) under uncultured bacterium. RNAcentral's name for it is "partial 16S ribosomal RNA". It matches the Rfam family "Bacterial small subunit ribosomal RNA", at positions 338 to 795 of the family's 1533-position model. The record is from RNAcentral.
CCUACGGGCGGCAGCAGUGGGGAAUAUUGGGCAAUGGAGGAAACUCUGACCCAGCAACGCCGCGUGAAUGAUGAAGGUCCUCGGAUUGUAAAGUUUUUUUUUAAGGGAAGAAGAAAGUGACGGUACCUUAGGAAUAAGCCUCGGCUAACUACGUGCCAGCAGUCGCGGGAAUACGUAGGAGGCGAGCGUUAUCCGGAAUGACUGGGCGUAAAGGGUGCGUAGGGGGUUUGGCAAGUUAGUAGCGUAACUCCGAGGCUCAACCUUGGAACUACUACUAAAACUGUUGGACUUGAGUGCAGGAGAGGCAAGCGGAAUUCCUGGUGUAGCGGUGGAAUGCGUAGAUAUUAGGAAGAACACCAGUGGCGAAGGCAGGUUACUAGACUGUAACUGACACUGAGGCACGAAAGCGUGGGGAGCAAACAGGAUUAGAUACCCCUGUAGUC